This 445-nucleotide ribosomal RNA is filed under the name uncultured bacterium. RNAcentral describes it as "partial 16S ribosomal RNA". It matches the Rfam family "Bacterial small subunit ribosomal RNA", at positions 354 to 796 of the family's 1533-position model. The record is from RNAcentral.
GUAGGGAAUAUUGGGCAAUGGAGGCAACUCUGACCCAGCCAUGCCGCGUGCAGGAUGACGGCCCUCUGGGUUGUAAACUGCUUUUAUACGGGAAGAAAAAAUACUACGUGUAGUAUACUGACGGUACCGUAAGAAUAAGGAUCGGCUAACUCCGUGCCAGCAGCCGCGGUAAUACGGAGGAUCCAAGCGUUGUCCGGAUUUAUUGGGUUUAAAGGGUGCGUAGGCGGAUCUUUAAGUCAGUGGUGAAAGCCUGCAGCUUAACUGUAGAAUUGCCAUUGAAACUGAAGAUCUUGAAUGUGGUUAAAGUAGGCGGAAUGUAUCAUGUAGCGGUGAAAUGCUUAGAUAUGAUACAGAACACCGAUAGCGAAGGCAGCUUGCUGAACCAUUAUUGACGCUGAGGCACGAAAGCGUGGGGAGCGAACAGGAUUAGAAACCCAGGUAGUCC